Molecule: unclassified non-coding RNA, 390 nt
Filed under: Hevea brasiliensis (rubber tree)
Lineage: Eukaryota; Viridiplantae; Streptophyta; Magnoliopsida; Malpighiales; Euphorbiaceae
Source: RNAcentral
GUUGGAUGUCAACGAUGCAUGAACGUGUGAACUGAGAUUACCAUUGGGAGACCAGAUAUAACUUGGACACUGUAACCUAUGAUCAGCCUCAUAACAGGAUGCUACUGUUGCAAAGCUCAAAUGUUCUGACGCACCAUUUCCAAGAAAAGCAAGUGCUCCAAAGGAAGUAGAUUGGGUUUUAAGCUUCCUCCUUAGUAACUGCCAGAUCAUUCCUCCACCAGCCAUUUUAGCCAGCAUUUCUAUAAGAUAGUAGAGUCCUGUCAGCCACCUUGUACGUUCUUGCCCUUACCUCGAGAGGAAACCCAAAACGUCCAAAACCCACCAACCGGAAAGGGUCUCGUUUCAACCCCCAAACUGUAACUAAAGCUGUCUUGUAACCUCCAAAUGUGG